UGGUGGGUUGCCUUGUCAGGUUGAUUCCGGUAACGAACGAGACCUCAGCCUGCUAAAUAGUUACGACUGUCUUUGACAGUUGGCCAACUUCUUAGAGGGACUAUUGUCGAUUAGGCAAUGGAAGUAUGAGGCAAUAACA
Molecule: ribosomal RNA, 139 nt
Filed under: uncultured eukaryote
Lineage: Eukaryota
Description: partial 18S ribosomal RNA
Rfam family: Eukaryotic small subunit ribosomal RNA
Source: RNAcentral